This 344-nucleotide unclassified non-coding RNA is filed under the name Homarus americanus (American lobster). RNAcentral's name for it is "dNA-directed RNA polymerase II subunit RPB1-like, transcript variant X6". The record is from RNAcentral. Lineage: Eukaryota; Metazoa; Arthropoda; Malacostraca; Decapoda; Nephropidae.
GAACCACAACUAAUUUUCUGUAAUCACUUCACAAGACGCAAGGUCUUGGGAUUGGUGUGAGACGAAGGCACAAAAGUCAAGAGUUGGUUUCUAUGUAUGGCACAUCCCCAGACGUCCUCAGUCCUCCAGCAAGGAAGUGUUUGUUGAAUACUUAUCCACUGGUUGAUACUUGGUUCAGUUGUCAUCCAAGACUCAGAGACACAUCAUGGCAGGUGCGAGUGUAUGGAGGAGCUAAGAAGUGAGGUGGGGAAGUGGUGGUGGCUGCCAGACAUACUGCCAAUGUACAGUCAGCAAAAAAAAUGUUCUGCACCCCUUGGUCUGAUGGCCUUUGCAACGAUCACUGA